UCCCAGACAGCAACUUUUCUCUUGGGAUGCCAGGUGGGAGGGACCAGAGUCACACUGCACUUGGAGUCAGGAGACCUG
RNAcentral lists this microRNA precursor (78 nucleotides) under Cavia porcellus (domestic guinea pig). RNAcentral describes it as "miRNA (ENSCPOG00000030660.1)". Lineage: Eukaryota; Metazoa; Chordata; Mammalia; Rodentia; Caviidae. The record is from RNAcentral.